UUAGAUACCCUUGUAGUCCACGCCGUAAACGAUGAAUACUAGGUGUCGGGGUCCACAGGAUCCCGGUGCCGCAGCAAACGCAUUAAGUAUUCCACCUGGGGAGUACGUUCGCAAGAAUGAAACUCAAAGGAAUUGACGGGGACCCGCACAAGCGGUGGAGCAUGUGGUUUAAUUUGAAGCAACGCGGAGAACCUUACCAAGCCUUGACAUCCUCCUGACGGCCCCUUAGCCGGGGAGUCCCUUCGGGGCAGGAGAGACAGGUGGUGCAUGGUUGUCGUCAGCUCGUGUCGUGAGAUGUUGGGUUAAGUCCCGCAACGAGCGCAACCCUUAUCCUCAGUAGCCAGCGGUCCGGCCGGGCACUCUGUGGAGACUGCCGGAGAUAAUCCGGAGGAAGGUGGGGAUGACGUCAAAUCAUCAUGCCCCUUAUGGCUUGNGCUACACACGUGCUACAAUGGCGGUAACAGAGUGAAGCAGCCUCGCGAGAGUGAGCCAACCACAAAAAAACCGUCCCAGUUCGGAUUGUAGUCUGCAACCCGACUACAUGAAGCUGGAAUCGCUAGUAAUCGCAGAUCAGAAUGCUGCGGUGAAUACGUNCCCCGGGUCUUGUACACACCGGCCGUCACACAUUGGGAGUCNGAAAUGCCCGAAGCCAGUGACCCAACCUUANGGGAGGGAGCUGGCCAAAGGUGGAGCCGAUAACUGGNGUGAAAUCCUACCAAGGUAGCCGAAAUUCAGCCACUUGNCGGGCGUUCUUUUGGAUCGAACCUGGACCAAACUGGCGUAAUAUGGCCUUACUGUUCCUGGGGAAAUUGAUCCCCUCA
This 821-nucleotide ribosomal RNA is filed under the name uncultured bacterium. RNAcentral describes it as "bacterial SSU rRNA". It matches the Rfam family "Bacterial small subunit ribosomal RNA", at positions 778 to 1533 of the family's 1533-position model. The record is from RNAcentral.